CAAAACUUUCAACAACGGAUCUCUUGGCUCUGGCAUCGAUGAAGAACGCAGCGAAAUGCGAUACGUAAUGUGAAUUGCAGAAUUCAGCGAACCAUCGAAUUUUUGAACGCACAUUGCGCCCGCCAGUAUUCUGGCGGGCAUGCCUGUCCGAGCGUCAUUUCCCCCCU
Molecule: ribosomal RNA, 167 nt
Filed under: Sporothrix mexicana
Lineage: Eukaryota; Fungi; Ascomycota; Sordariomycetes; Ophiostomatales; Ophiostomataceae
Description: 5.8S ribosomal RNA
Rfam family: 5.8S ribosomal RNA
About the family: 5.8S ribosomal RNA (5.8S rRNA) is a component of the large subunit of the eukaryotic ribosome.
Source: RNAcentral